CCUACGGGAGGCAGCAGUGGGGAAUAUUGCACAAUGGGGGAAACCCUGAUGCAGCGACGCCGCGUGAGUGAAGAAGUAUUUCGGUACGUAAAGCUCUAUCAGCAGGGAAGAAAAUGACGGUACCUGACUAAGAAGCCCCGGCUAACUACGUGCCAGCAGCCGCGGUAAUACGUAGGGGGCAAGCGUUAUCCGGAUUUACUGGGUGUAAAGGGAGCGUAGACGGCAGCGCAAGUCUGGAGUGAAAUCCCAUGGCUUAACCAUGGAACUGCUUUGGAAACUGUGCAGCUAGAGUGCAGGAGAGGUAAGCGGAAUUCCUAGUGUAGCAGUGAAAUGCGUAGAUAUUAGGAGGAACACCAGUGGCGAAGGCGGCUUACUGGACUGUAACUGACGUUGAGGCUCGAAAGCGUGGGGAGCAAACAGGAUUAGAUACCCGAGUAGUC
RNAcentral lists this ribosomal RNA (440 nucleotides) under uncultured bacterium. RNAcentral describes it as "partial 16S ribosomal RNA". It matches the Rfam family "Bacterial small subunit ribosomal RNA", at positions 338 to 795 of the family's 1533-position model. The record is from RNAcentral.